CCAAACAAGUUUUUCAUCAAAUCUCUUCAUCAAGAAAGUUGUGCUAUAAUACUUAGCCAACUGCUGUAUAGGAACAUUAUGAAACUGCACAACAAGUAAAGCAAACUUUACAAAGCAACACAUAGGUAAGUAGGUAACUAACUAUUUUUUUCUUGUUGAGUCUGUGGUAUGGGUUAUACAGUUUAAUGGUAUAUCAGACUUCUAUCUCGAUGUUCGGGAGUUGUGGAG
This 228-nucleotide long non-coding RNA is filed under the name Eutrema salsugineum. RNAcentral's name for it is "long non-coding RNA (ESAL_LNC001295)". The record is from RNAcentral. Lineage: Eukaryota; Viridiplantae; Streptophyta; Magnoliopsida; Brassicales; Brassicaceae.